UGGGGAAUAUUGGACAAUGGGCGAAAGCCUGAUCCAGCCAUGCCGCGUGUGUGAAGAAGGUCUUCGGAUUGUAAAGCACUUUAAGUUGGGAGGAAGGGCAUUAACCUAAUACGUUAGUGUUUUGACGUUACCGACAGAAUAAGCACCGGCUAACUCUGUGCCAGCAGCCGCGGUAAUACAGAGGGUGCAAGCGUUAAUCGGAAUUACUGGGCGUAAAGCGCGCGUAGGUGGGUUGUUAAGUUGGAUGUGAAAUCCCCGGACUCAACCUGGGAACUGCAUUCAAAACUGACUGACUAGAGUAUGGUAGAGGGUGGUGGAAUUUCCUGUGUAGCGGUGAAAUGCGUAGAUAUAGGAAGGAACACCAGUGGCGAAGGCGACCACCUGGACUAAUACUGACACUGAGGUGCGAAAGCGUGGGGAGCAAACA
This 427-nucleotide ribosomal RNA is filed under the name uncultured bacterium. Its description in RNAcentral is "partial 16S ribosomal RNA". It matches the Rfam family "Bacterial small subunit ribosomal RNA", at positions 355 to 774 of the family's 1533-position model. The record is from RNAcentral.